GGAGGAUGCAGGGACAGGCCAGGCCCAGCCAGUGGGAAAGGGGUAGCAGAGCCAGUGCACACUCCUCGGCUGGGCCCCCGGAAGCCCAGCUGGGAACAGAUAGAGUUCCAGACACAGCUGUGUCCAGCUAGCAGGACGCCAGAUCCGAAAAGUGGAUGGGCCUGGACCGUCAAACUUGGAGGGUGCAGAGACCCACUGAGAGCCUCGGCCAGCCAGACCAGCAUCUGGGAACCAGAAGUCCUAGCUGGCAGACUGUCUGGACUCCCGGCUUCCCACCCUGUUGUGUGACUUUUGAAGAUAAACUACAAAGGAGUCACAGCCAGCCAGCACCCCCUUCCCUGAGUCAGCCCAGCCCACACCCACCUCAGUGGACACAGGUCACCUACGAGAUUCUCCAGAGGGUGCAGCGGCCCCUGCUCCCCUGUCCUCAGAGAAGGCAGUGGUGCGUAGACCAGGUUCCCGUGAGCAGGGCAGCUGGGCUGGGGCUGGGUGGCCACCACCCUCAGUCCCAGCCUCUCACCCAGGAGCCUUUGAAUCCCUUUGAGCUGGAGGGAGCUGACAGCCCAGCAGACCAGGCCCCUCACAUUAAGGAUGAGGACACAGAGGCCAGGGUGCCAUGUAGAGGAGACGGGGAUUCCAGGGGCACUCGGUCUGGUCCUUGUCCCUUUUCUUCCCACCAUUUCCCUGCAACCCAUUAACAGCAUCCCAGCCCUUACCCAACCAUGCCAGGGUGUCUGGUCUCCAAGUUCCUGUGCUCCUGGCUCACUCCCACCUGUCCUUGAGGGUCACCUGGGCUCUGGGAAGCACCUCCACCCCGGGCUGCCCAGCCUCCCUGCAGACCACUCCCUGUGACCCGCGGCUUACCAUCCGCUGGCCGCUGGGCCUUGAGCUCGGCAGCGGCCUGCCCCGGAGCUGUAACUCUGGGCUCCCGGAGCUUCACACGGGGUCUGGCAUGCACCGCGUGUCCGGUACAUAUUUAUGGACUAAACCGAUGAUGCCUCGCCCACGUCCCACAGCCAGUCCGUGGCAGAGCCAGCCUAGAGGCCGGGGCUCCGGAUGUCUGGGUCCCAGCUCAUUCCAGCAACCAGGCUCCCUCCUCGCGACUCAGGGGUGCCUCCCUAAGCAUGACGGACUGUCUGGAGAGAGGUCACCUGGGCAUCAUCCCUGCCCCCUCCUUGGAGGGCUCUGUUCACACAUCCUAACCCUGGUUGGUCUGUCUGGCUGGACAGGCUCCUGGUGGAAGAGUGGGAGUCCAGGUCAGGGGUGUGCCCCUGGUGGGGGGCGAAUCACAAAAGGGCGAAUCAGCCUGCCUGAGCUAUAGACAUCUCUCUCCUCUCCUGGUGCAGGCCUAGGACCCGCACUCUGCCGGAGAACAUCCGAGGCUGCCUGGGAAGGGAGGAAGUGUCAGAAAGGCACGCGCUGCUCAGGUCAAGAAAAUGGGGUCUGGGACUGGACACACCACUGAGCUCUUAAAUGCAGAAAGAAUACUUCCAGCACCCCAAAAUGUUCCUGCACGCCCUUUCCAGGCAAAGCUCCCUGCGUCACAGCCAGCUGCUGUGCUUGAAUAGGGUCUGGUAAACACUGAGAAAUGUGUAAUCGAUGAGGGUCGUCCUUCUCCAGAAUAUUUUCACUGGGGACAAUCCCUCAGCCCAGUCAUUCUCAACUGGGGUGAUUUUGCCCCCUAGAAGACAUUUGGCAAUAUUUGGAGGAGUUUUUGAUUGUCACAAUUCAGGGGGUACUAUUGGCAUCUAGUCAGUAGAGGCCAGGGAUGCUGUUAAACAUCGUACAGUGCACAGGACACGGCCACAACGAAGAAUUAUCCAAGUGUCAGUAGUGCCAAGGUUGAGAAAUUCAGCCUUAAUCCAAAGGAAUAAACCUCAAAUGGUGAACUUCUAGGCAUCGUGCCAGGGGAUUGGACCAAGAGUGGCAGGGAGGGAUUUUCUGGAACAUCAUUUUCGAUGAAAGAGAAAUUCAUACUACAUAAGCGCAGGUAAAAGGACACUGUUUUCCACAGUGGGCAGCCCAGUGUGGAGAGGCUAAUUAGCUCUAAGCAGUAAGAAUAAAAAUUUACAAUUACUUGAGUGACUCCUUUUCACCCUAGAAAGGAUCGAGACUGAAAUGAAAAGGGGAAGGAAAUUUAGAUAAAUUAACAAAACACAAAUUAAUGGGUACUCAGAGGAAAUUAGGAUGUUGGAUGUUUUGAGGAUAUCUUCAUUUAUUUUUUUAAUUUUUAAAACAUUCAUGGGACUUCCCUGGUGGCGCAGUGGUUCAGAAUCCGGCUGCCAUUGCAGGGGAUAUGGAUUCGAUCCCUAGUCUGGGAAGAUCCCCCACGCCGCGGAGCAACUAAGGCCGUGCGCCGCAACUACUGAGCCUGCACUCUGGAGUUCGUGAGCCACAACUACUGAAGCCCACGGGCCUAGAGCCCGUGCUCCACGGCAAGAGAAGCCACCGCAAUGAGAAGUCCGCACACCGCAAGGAAGAGUAGCUCCCGCUCGCCACAACUAGAGAAAGCCCGCGUGCAGCAACGAAGACCCAAUGCAGCCAAAAAUCAGUUCUGUAUUUCUCUACUUAUAAUGGUGACUUACGACUCCUAUUUCUAGAUAAUGAAACAAAUCUUUUUGUCCUCCCCAAGUGACUCCAAAUUUACUCCUUUUUUAGUAGCUUAAUUGCUUUAUCCUUUGCAUUUGAAGGUAAACUUCAAAAGGGGUAAGAGCAAUCUUUAGAAUUUAAUUUGUAUCUAUGUUAUACCUAGUAUAGUGCUUCAGACAAUAAACUGAUUA
This is a long non-coding RNA of Lagenorhynchus albirostris (white-beaked dolphin), 2780 nucleotides long. RefSeq lists it as uncharacterized. The record is from RefSeq and is a predicted model, not a curated record. The transcript has 3 exons. NCBI's taxonomy places the organism in Eukaryota, Metazoa, Chordata, Mammalia, Artiodactyla, Delphinidae.